This 460-nucleotide ribosomal RNA is filed under the name uncultured bacterium. RNAcentral's name for it is "partial 16S ribosomal RNA". It matches the Rfam family "Bacterial small subunit ribosomal RNA", at positions 338 to 795 of the family's 1533-position model. The record is from RNAcentral.
CCUACGUGGGGCAGUAGUGAGGAAUAUUGGUCAAUGGGCGCGAGCCUGAACCAGCCACGUAGCGUGAAGGAUGACUGCCCUACGGGUUGUAAACUUCUUUUAUAAAGGAAUAAAGUGAGGCACGUGUGCCUUUUUGUAUGUACUUUAUGAAUAAGGAUCGGCUAACUCCGUGCCAGCAGCCGCGGUAAUACGGAGGAUCCGAGCGUUAUCCGGAUUUAUUGGGUUUAAAGGGAGCGUAGAUGGGUUGUUAAGUCAAUUGUGAAAGUUUGCGGCUCAACCGUAAAAUUGCAAUUGAUACUGGCAGUCUUGAGUACAGUUGAGGUAGGCGGAAUUCGUGGUGUAGCGGUGAAAUGCUUAGAUAUCUCGAAGAACUCCGAUUGCGAAGGCAGCUUACUAAACUGCCACUGACAUUGAUGCUCGAAAGUGUGGGUAUCAAACAGGAUUAGAUACCCGAGUAGUC